GGAAGUGAUGAUAAUGGAAGAUUUGAGGUAUGGUCUACAGACUCUGAGGAUGAUGAAGUCAGAAAACCCACACAUGGCAGGUGCUUUGUUGCAAAGUCAAAAUUGCAGGGAUAUGAAGGUAAAUGUGUGAUGGUUCAGAACGGAGCUUCGGAACAAAAGGGUUAUGCUACUAAUGGUGGUUGAGCUUCCGGAAGCUGUUUUGCUGCGAAGAUCAUUUCAGAGCAGGUGAAAGAAUGCGAGAAGGUGGUUCAUAAGGUGAAAGAAUACUUUAUCUCUUAAUAUUCCUGUCUCUCGCUAUGAUUCUGAAUUAGACGAUUUAAAAUAUAUUGUUUCUAAUUUUAGUGAUAGUUUAAAACGAACUUGUCUUAGUAAUUCUAACCUAACUGAUCAACUUAACAGGGAAACAUUUAAUAGUGAAGAGAGAAGAUUAAGAAUAGAGGCUUUGGAGUUAGAGCUCACUAGAUCACGUGAUGAUGCCAUUUAUCUCAAGAGACAUAGUCGUG
RNAcentral lists this long non-coding RNA (503 nucleotides) under Lactuca sativa (garden lettuce). RNAcentral describes it as "long non-coding RNA (LSAT_LNC000759)". The record is from RNAcentral. Lineage: Eukaryota; Viridiplantae; Streptophyta; Magnoliopsida; Asterales; Asteraceae.